RNAcentral lists this non-coding RNA (182 nucleotides) under Lactobacillus kalixensis. RNAcentral's name for it is "Lysine sequence". It matches the Rfam family "Lysine riboswitch aptamer". Rfam says of the family: Riboswitches are metabolite binding domains within certain messenger RNAs that serve as precision sensors for their corresponding targets. Allosteric rearrangement of mRNA structure is mediated by ligand binding, and this results in modulation of gene expression. Lineage: Bacteria; Bacillati; Bacillota; Bacilli; Lactobacillales; Lactobacillaceae. The record is from RNAcentral.
CAAAUCGAAGAGGCGCAACUGACAUUAGUAACGUGGCCGAGUUUUGGUACAGAUGUCGACACCACGUAAAAGGGGAGGUUGCCGAAGCAGUAGGAAUUACCAACCUAUUUUCUGGGAUGCAGUUUAAGAGAUUGCAUACUGUCGCGAAAAAAAUAGUCAAUUCGCGGAGCGCUAUCGAGUAA